UAGUCAUAUGCUUGUCCUAAAGAUUAAGCCAUGCAUGCCUCAGAAUAACUGCAUUGCAGGACUCUGCGCAUGGCUCAUUACAUCAGACUUAAUCUGCCGCAAUAACGUUGCGGUCUCCGCAAGACUGGAUAUCUUGGCGAAACGUCAAGCUAAUACAUGAACUAACGGGUCUUUUCCCCUCGUUGGGAGGCCUUGGAAUGAAUGAAAUUAAAAUCAACGCCACGUACGUGGCAGCAACCUGAGAAGUGUUGAAUCAAUUCAUUCCCACCGAAAGCUGGUUUACCAGCGUCUUUUGACGAAAAACUGCCCUAUCAGCUUGAUGGCCGUGUAGUGGACUGCCAAGGCGUUGACGGGAGCGGGGGAUUAGGGUUCGAUUCCGGAGAGGGAGCCUGAGAGAUAGCUACCACUUCUACGGAGGGCAGCAGGCGCGCAAAUUGCCCAAUGCCGAGAAAAUACGGUGAGGCAGCGAAAAGAAAUAGGACUUCUAGGCUUUGCUUGGAAGACAAUGGGGGAUAUUUAAUGCCAUCCAAAAUCGAGUAUCAAUU
Molecule: ribosomal RNA, 545 nt
Filed under: uncultured eukaryote
Lineage: Eukaryota
Description: SSU rRNA
Rfam family: Eukaryotic small subunit ribosomal RNA
Source: RNAcentral